This 113-nucleotide ribosomal RNA is filed under the name Acanthosepion pharaonis. Lineage: Eukaryota; Metazoa; Mollusca; Cephalopoda; Sepiida; Sepiidae. The record is from RNAcentral.
UACGAUUAUAUAGCGUUGAAACACCGGUUCCCGUACGAUCACCGAAGUUAAGCAACGUCGAGCCUGGUCCGUACCUAGAUGAGUGACCACUUGGGAAUACCAGGUGCUGUAAG